Long non-coding RNA from Leptinotarsa decemlineata (Colorado potato beetle), 308 nucleotides. NCBI's taxonomy places the organism in Eukaryota, Metazoa, Arthropoda, Insecta, Coleoptera, Chrysomelidae. The record is from RefSeq and is a predicted model, not a curated record.
GAAUGAUGGCUGGAUGGUUCUUGAGCGCUGAAUCAGAAACGCCAUUUUGGACCUUAUACACGGAUAUUGUACAGGAAACGAAUUGCAAGAAAUUGUACUCGGAAAAGUGUCACGAUUUCCAUCUGGAAGAACUGAGAGUAACAACUGAAUACGUUCACAAUGAACUAUAGAAAUUAGAUUUUUCCCUUUUCCAGGGCAUACUUGCUUUAUAGAUGUGUUUCCAAAAUCACAGCAAACAUUUCUAUAAAUCGACUCAUAGAUUAUUUAUUUUGUAAAAUAGUUGUAAUAAAUUCAAUAGUAAUUCUGUA